UUCAAGUUUAAAUAGUUAAGGGUCUCAAAAAUGGAAUUUUGAAGAUUAGUGAAGAUUUCUAAAAUCUUUAGCAAUUUGCCAAUUGGAUUGAGGUGAAAUUUAUGUAUAUGAGUAAUAGAUUUGAUUUCCAACAUAAGUAUAAAUUUUGGAGAGGUAUUUAAUAAUAAAAUUAAGAAUUUUUAAUUCAAAGAAAUCGACAUCAAGAUUGGAGAAGGAGACCAGCUAAUACUGGAGUGGAUUUUAGGAUUUAUCAUCAAUUUAUUAUUUGCAAUUUUCUUCAAAUUUUUUGUGCUUAUUUUUAACUUAGUUGUUACAAGGUAUACUAAUUUUGAGUCAAAAUUAAUAGUUCAAACAUUUGUUAUUGAAUUUUUAAACUAUUAUAGGAUUAUUAAAAAAAUUUGUUUAAGAUUUAGGAUUUGAUUAAAGAUUGAUUAUGAUUGAUUUAAGAUCUAGGAUUUGAUUAAGAUUUAGUUAGGAUUUAAGAUUUAUCUAGGAUUUGAUUAAGGUUUGAUUAAGAUUUGAUUUAAGAUAUGAUUAAAAUUUGUCUAAGAUAUGUAUACGAUUUUUUU
Molecule: long non-coding RNA, 569 nt
Filed under: Physcomitrium patens
Lineage: Eukaryota; Viridiplantae; Streptophyta; Bryopsida; Funariales; Funariaceae
Description: long non-coding RNA (PPAT_LNC009608)
Source: RNAcentral